UUGGUACCUGCCCAACCAGAUACGAACUGAGGGCCAUGAAAGCUGACUCACCUUCGCAGCAGAAGGUAUCUCCGCCCUAUGAAGGCCUUGAUGGGGAGCAACUCAGGCCUUGAAGGUAAAUGUCCUGUCCCACAGGUGCCAUGAGCUCCGGGAAGUAGAGACGUGAUCAGACUCCCCUGCUACAGCCUUGUACUUGUCACCGAAGGGAGAUGUGCAGGUGCAAGCCCGACCAAGGGACACCUCCGUGGCCAUGACAGCUUUUCUUCUUAAAAGAAAAAACCGGACCGUGGGUUCAGAAAUCCAAAUCCAUUUGUUUAUACUCGAUUCAUACCA
This 333-nucleotide long non-coding RNA is filed under the name Homo sapiens (human). RNAcentral describes it as "HSALNT0344963". The record is from RNAcentral. Lineage: Eukaryota; Metazoa; Chordata; Mammalia; Primates; Hominidae.